Molecule: unclassified non-coding RNA, 390 nt
Filed under: uncultured fungus
Lineage: Eukaryota; Fungi
Description: sequence contains ITS1
Rfam family: 5.8S ribosomal RNA (bases 1-107)
Source: RNAcentral
GAAAUGCGAUACUUGGUGUGAAUUGCAGAAUCCCGUGAACCAUCGAGUCUUUGAACGCAAGUUGCGCCCGAAGCCUUCCGGCCAAGGGCACGUCUGCCUGGGCGUCACGCAUCGCGUCGCCCCCACCUCCCAAUUUGGAUGUGUGCGGGGCGGAGAGUGGCCUCCCGUGUGCCUCUUGCCCACACGGAUGGCCGAAACAAGGAGCUUGCGGCGGUGAGCGCCGUGACAUUCGGUGGUUGGAUGGGCACUUGUCCUACGAAGCAUCUUGUCACGAAGCGCCACCCUGUGUUUGCUCGGAGGACUCGAAUCGGUCGAUGUUAUUGCGAUCUAUCGCCUAUCAUCGAUCACCAUUGCGACCCCAGGUCAGGCGGGACUACCCGCUGAGUUUAA